RNAcentral lists this ribosomal RNA (413 nucleotides) under uncultured prokaryote. RNAcentral's name for it is "bacterial SSU rRNA". It matches the Rfam family "Bacterial small subunit ribosomal RNA", at positions 505 to 918 of the family's 1533-position model. The record is from RNAcentral.
GUGUCAGCCGCCGCGGUAAGACGUAGGGGGCGAGCGUUACCCGGAUUCACUGGGCGUAAAGGGCGUCUAGGCGGUUCGGCAAGUCGCCUGUGAAAGCCCCUGGCUCAACUGGGGGAGGCCGGGCGAUACUGCCGGGCUAGAGGGCGGCAGAGGAAGGUGGAACGGCCAGAGUAGCGGUGAAAUGCGUAGAUACUGGCCGGUACCCCGAUGGCGAAGGCAACCUUCUGGGCCGUCCCUGACGCUGAAGCGCGAAAGCGUGGGGAGCGAACCGGAUUAGAUACCCGGGUAGUCCACGCCCUAAACGAUGUGGGCUAGGUGUCGGCCCGUCACUGGGUCGGUGCCGCAGCUAACGCGUUAAGCCCACCGCCUGGGGAGUACGGCCGCAAGGCUGAAACUCAAAGGAAUUGACGGGG